Molecule: non-coding RNA, 107 nt
Organism: Octopus bimaculoides (California two-spot octopus)
Lineage: Eukaryota; Metazoa; Mollusca; Cephalopoda; Octopoda; Octopodidae
Source: Rfam
UUGUCUAUUUCGGCGGUAAAUAUAAUAAAAUUGCAACCAUUCAGAGAAGAUUAGAUUGGUUUUUGCUCAUCAUUGACUUUAACAUUCGUGAAGCGUUCCACAUUAUA